UCCCACUAAAGAUGCUCUUAUAACAACAAAACAAUUUCUGCAGAGAAACAUAAACACACGCACGCGUGAGAAAGUGAGAGAAAAAAUAGCAAACCGCAAGAGUGAGUGGCCGCGACCGCGAGAGAGGGAGUGAACGGCGGCGAGAUGGAAACGAUCAGCAAUGUUGUCUACGACGGCGAGAUUGGGUUCCGGUGGCGAGGCUGCAGCGCGGUGGUGAUUUUCAGCUGUAGUUGCGGCGAAGCUUUCUUUCUCCUUUCUUUCUUGUUCUGUUUAUGAUUUUUGUUUACUGGUUGUGAUGGUUAUGGUGAGUUUAUUUGACGAAAAAAUGUUGGUGAUGGUUUGAUGAUUAUUGUGGUUAAAAGGGAUGGUGUUUUGAAGGUGAUUGCGUUGGAAUGGUGAUGGAGGUUUUAUAGUGGUGGUGGAAGAUGGUUGGUGGGGUUGAAGGAAAUUGAGAUGGUGUUGUGUUGUUACAGUGCUGGUGUUUGUGAGUGAAAGAUGGUGGUGAUGUGUUUACACUCUACAUUUUGCUGGUUUUUCUCUUCCACCUCCUCUGUUUUUGUUUUCAAAUUCACUCCCCCCAAUUUUCUGUGUUUCUCUUGUUUUUUUCUUCAAUUUUCC
This 618-nucleotide long non-coding RNA is filed under the name Trifolium pratense (red clover). RNAcentral describes it as "long non-coding RNA (TPRA_LNC004440)". Lineage: Eukaryota; Viridiplantae; Streptophyta; Magnoliopsida; Fabales; Fabaceae. The record is from RNAcentral.